RNAcentral lists this ribosomal RNA (200 nucleotides) under uncultured bacterium. RNAcentral describes it as "partial 16S ribosomal RNA". It matches the Rfam family "Bacterial small subunit ribosomal RNA", at positions 28 to 224 of the family's 1533-position model. The record is from RNAcentral.
GAUGAACGCUAGCGGCAGGCCUAAUACAUGCAAGUCGAACGGUAAGUAUGAUAGCAAUAUUAUACGAGAGUGACGUACGGGUGCGUAACACGUAUGCAACCUACCCAAAACAGGAGGAUAGCGUCGGGGAAACUCGAAUUAACCCUCCAUGAGAUCAUAGAAUGGCAUCAUUCAGUGAUUAAAACUCAGGUUGGUUUUGG